This 479-nucleotide ribosomal RNA is filed under the name uncultured soil bacterium. RNAcentral's name for it is "bacterial SSU rRNA". It matches the Rfam family "Bacterial small subunit ribosomal RNA", at positions 26 to 507 of the family's 1533-position model. The record is from RNAcentral.
AGGACGAACGCUGGCGGCGUGCUUAACACAUGCAAGUCGAGCGGUAAGGCCUUUCGGGGUACACGAGCGGCGAACGGGUGAGUAACACGUGGGUGAUCUGCCCUGCACUCUGGGAUAAGCCUGGGAAACUGGGUCUAAUACCGGAUAUGACCUGCUCUCGCAUGGGGGGUGGUGGAAAAGAUUUAUCGGUGCAGGGAUGGGGCCCGCGGCCUAUCAGCUUGGUUGGUGGGGUAAUGGCCUACCAAGGCGACGACGGGUAGCCGACCUGAGAGGGUGACCGGCCACACUGGGACCGAGACACGGCCCAGACUCCUACGGGAGGCAGCAGGUGGGAAUAUUGCACAAGUGGGACGAAAGCCUGAUGCAGCGACGCCGCGUGAGGAUGAAGGUCCGUUCGGGUUAGUAAACCUCUUUACAGCGAAGGACGAAGCGACGAAGUGACCGUACUGACAGAAGAAGACCACCGGACUAACUACGUA